Small nuclear RNA from Cephalotus follicularis, 159 nucleotides. It matches the Rfam family "U1 spliceosomal RNA". From Rfam's summary of the family: U1 is a small nuclear RNA (snRNA) component of the spliceosome (involved in pre-mRNA splicing). Lineage: Eukaryota; Viridiplantae; Streptophyta; Magnoliopsida; Oxalidales; Cephalotaceae. The record is from Rfam.
AUACUUACCUGGACGGGGUCAAUAGGCGAUCAUUAAGGCUUAUGGCCUAGUUUGACGGCCCACAUUGCACUUAGUGGGUGCGUCAGUCUAACUUCUCCUUAUAGGAGAGUGUACGUCAAAAUUUGUUAAAGUGGGGGCCUGCGUUCGCGCGGCCCCUGU